Molecule: RNA transcript, 1264 nt
Organism: Raphanus sativus (radish)
Lineage: Eukaryota; Viridiplantae; Streptophyta; Magnoliopsida; Brassicales; Brassicaceae
Gene name: multiple RNA-binding domain-containing protein 1-like
Exons: 5
Source: RefSeq, a predicted model, not a curated record
CUUUAUAGGUAUAUUUGAACACAUCUUACAACAAUAUAAUAAAAGGAAUAAAAGGAAAAAGCGACUAAAGAUGUGUAUCUCGAGUAUUCUUUAAGAAGUGUUUUGCUGAAAUUAUUAGGUGACUUGGCUUAAUUUCAUUGAUUCUGUUUUUUGGAAAAUGAAUUAAAAUUUCAUUCCUCCGGCAAAAUCGAUAUCUCUCCUCCUGCGAUCAUAUUUCUUUUUCCUUGAUUUUCUCGGCGGCGUGAGCAAAAGGGACGGGGUCAAGAACAAACAAGCCCAUAAGAAUCUCAGAUCCAUGACUUUAGGCGACCUCUGCUUCUUCUACCACUCCGGUACGAAAUCGAGGUGCGUCGUGGGUGUGGUGGAGGUUGCUCGCGAAUGGUACGAAGAUGACGAUGACGAAGGAGAAGGAGAAGGAGCGGUCGACGUCAAAGCUGUCGGAGAGAUGAGGAGAUUUGUUGAUUUGAAGGAGAUGAAAGGAGACAAAGGGAUUAAGGAUUUCGUUUUGUUCAGACAGCCGAGGUUGUCUGUUGUUCCAGUGGAAGUUGAUGUUUGGCAAAAGAUUUGUGAAUUGGGAGAUGGGUUUUCUGGAGAUGGUGAUGGCAUCUCUUUCUCAAACACAGAAGAAACAUUAACACAAGCUUUUUCUCAAUAUGGUCGUCUUCUUGGUGUGAAUGUUGUGAUGGACAAAAUCAGAUGCAGACCAAAAGAGUUUGCUUAUGUCAAAUUCUCUUCCAAAGAAGAAGCCGACGAAGCUUUAUUACAACUUAACGGACAGUUGGUAGAUAGGCGGGUGGUGGUCAUGCUAAGUCCGGAGGAGGAGGAGGAGAUCCUAGUAAACCUCAGCCUGUAAAGUUUCUUUCUCUUUCUUUGUCUAGCUAUAUCUUCUCUUUCUCGAUCCAUCUUCACACAUUACUCUCUGGAAAACGUACUCGUUACCGUCUUGAUGGUUCCAAGAUCAUGAAGGUCUAUUUGGAGGCCAAGGAAAGGAACAACACAGAGUACAAGCUCGAGACUAUGAUGGGUGUGUACCGGAAACUUACUGGAAAGGAUGUCACUUUCGAGUACCCUGUUGAAGCUUGAAGAUGUUGAUGACGCUGAAGAAUUUCAUCAGGAUAGAGCUUUUGAUUCUGUUUUGUGGUGUUUAGGAUGAAGUACACUCUGUUUUGAUUCUGUUUUGUUAAUCAAACUAAUAACGAGAAAUGGAUUCAGACACUACAUGUUGUAAAAAGAUCUUUACUGAUGCAAAAAUAUUUUGUUGUUA